This 963-nucleotide long non-coding RNA is filed under the name Homo sapiens (human). RNAcentral's name for it is "HSALNT0210872". Lineage: Eukaryota; Metazoa; Chordata; Mammalia; Primates; Hominidae. The record is from RNAcentral.
AUCCGCAGUCACGUGGAACUAUGGGGCGUCCUUACUCCCAGUCUUUCCAGAUGUUCUUCCCACUCCUCAACUGCUCCUGGCUCAGAAACCCUGCACACCUGGAAGAAAGUGAGAACCAGUUUUUCAACAAACACAUUGCACAGACUUAUUGUGAACCCCGGGUGGAAUCAAGCAUCGGAGGAAGAGAACGUGAUGGCUCUGAGGUCCAAGUAAAAGAUAAUAUUUGCAACCAACUCACUGGAGUUGACCAUCAAAACUCUUUUCCAGGCACACUCAGGCAUCGCAGAAAAUAAUAUGUAUUGUGGAAUCCCUCACUUGAUGAAUAAUCUAGAUGAUCAGAAAUGUGGCACUAUUUUGGCUUUCAGGUGGAAAAGCACCCUGAAUCCAGCUUCCUGCUAUGAAUGAAUACUGAGCUUGGGUUGGUGGAAAUUGAUUUUCGAGAUAAAGAAUCCAGCCAGGACUGUGAAGCCCCAGGGAAUGGCUGCACUUCAAGUCAGAAGGAGCCUGGGUCCCUGAAUCAUCAUGUGGAAGGCUCUCCACCCAGUUCAAUGGUGCAAUGGACCACAAGCAGGAACUUAAUUUAGAAUGUGCUUAUUUUGUUAGAUUUUGUAAUUAAAAAAUGGAUCCCACUCUGACUGAAUCAGAGAUGUUGAAGUCAUUGAUCUGGGAGGGUAUGUUCCUGGGAGUGGGUGGCUGAGGUGAGAUUUCAAACAAGGUUGUUGAGGAAGAGGAGUUCAAGUGACUGAGAGGACAUAUUGUUGGAUAAAUUGUGCGUGCGUGUGUGUGUGUGUGUGUGUGUGUGUUGAAAUCACCAAGAAUAGGGAAAGAAGUGUAUAAGAGAGUGUGGCAGUGAGCCCAGAGCUAAAAGAAAUCAUGAGCAGGGAGUAAUUCACGAGCAGAAAGUAGAAGCAACGAGAGGCAGUUAAUGAGAGAAGCAGCUGAGGGAUUUUAGCAAGGGAUGGG